AAUGGACCCAAAGAUCCUUGUA
Molecule: small nuclear RNA, 22 nt
Filed under: Arabidopsis thaliana (thale cress)
Lineage: Eukaryota; Viridiplantae; Streptophyta; Magnoliopsida; Brassicales; Brassicaceae
Description: snRNA_17553
Source: RNAcentral